Molecule: ribosomal RNA, 494 nt
Filed under: uncultured bacterium
Lineage: Bacteria
Description: partial 16S ribosomal RNA
Rfam family: Bacterial small subunit ribosomal RNA
Source: RNAcentral
GACGAACGCUGGCGGCGCGCUUAACACAUGCAAGUCGAACGGAAAGGCCUGCUUUCCCUUGUGGAUUGCGGGUACUCGAGUGGCGAACGGGUGAGUAACACGUGAGUGAUCUGCCCCCAACUUGGGUAUAAGCCUGGGAAACUGGGUCUAAUUCCCGAUAGGACUGCAGGGUGGUGCCUGUGGUUGAAAACGAUUUUCUAGUGGUUGGGGAUGAGCUCGCGGCGUAUCAGCUUGUUGGUGGGGUAAUGGCCUACCAAGGCGGCGACGGGUAGCCGGCGUGGGAGGGUGGACGGGCACAUUGGGACUGAGAUACGGCCCAGACUCCUACGGGAGGCAGCAGUGGGGAAUAUUGCGCAAUGGGAGGAAGCCUGAUGCAGCGACGCCGCGUGGGGGAUGACGGCCUUCGGGUUGUAAACUCCUUUCGGCCGCGAGGAAGCCACCUGGUUGGAGGGGUGGUGACGGUAGUGGUAGAAGAAGCACCGGCUAACUACGUG